This 497-nucleotide ribosomal RNA is filed under the name uncultured bacterium. Its description in RNAcentral is "partial 16S ribosomal RNA". It matches the Rfam family "Bacterial small subunit ribosomal RNA", at positions 28 to 507 of the family's 1533-position model. The record is from RNAcentral.
GAUGAACGCUGGCGGCGUGCCUAAUACAUGCAAGUCGAGCGAACAGACGAGGAGCUUGCUCCUCUGACGUUAGCGGCGGACGGGUGAGUAACACGUGGAUAACCUACCUAUAAGACUGGGAUAACUUCGGGAAACCGGAGCUAAUACCGGAUAAUAUAUUGAACCGCAUGGUUCAAUAGUGAAAGACGGUUUUGCUGUCAUUUAUAGAUGGAUCCGCGCCGCAUUAGCUAGUUGGUAAGGUAACGGCUUACCAAGGCAACGAUGCGUAGCCGACCUGAGAGGGUGAUCGGCCACACUGGAACUGAGACACGGUCCAGACUCCUACGGGAGGCAGCAGUAGGGAAUCUUCCGCAAUGGGCGAAAGCUUGACGGAGCAACGCCGCGGGAGGGAUGAAGGUCUUCGGAUCGUAAAACUCUGUUAUUAGGGAAGAACAAAUGUGUAAGUAACUAUGCACGUCUUGACGGUACCUAAUCAGAAAGCCACGGCUAACUACGUG